AGGAUAAACGCUGGCGGCGUGCCUAACACAUGCAAGUCGAACGUCCUACGCAAGUAGGGAGUGGCGGACGGGUGAGUAACACGUGGGCAAUCUACCUUUCGGUGAGGAAUACCGGCGAGAAAUCGCCGACAAUACCGCAUACGCUUCGCAAGAAGCAAAGUCGCAAGACGCCGGAGGAGGAGCCUGUGCCCGAUUAGCUGGUUGGUGAGGUAAGAGCUCACCAAGGCGACGAUCGGUAGCUGGUCUGAGAGGAUGAUCAGCCACACUGGGAUUGAGAACGGCCCAGACUCCUACGGGGGGCAGCAGUGAGGAAUUUUCGUCAAUGGGGGCAACCCUGAACGAGCAACGCCGCGUGCAGGAUGAAGCCCCUUGGGGUGUAAACUCCUUUCGAUCGGGAAGAUAAUGACGGUACCGAUAUAAGAAGCCCCGGCUAACUUCGUGCCAGCAGCCGC
RNAcentral lists this ribosomal RNA (452 nucleotides) under uncultured bacterium. Its description in RNAcentral is "partial small subunit ribosomal RNA". It matches the Rfam family "Bacterial small subunit ribosomal RNA", at positions 26 to 518 of the family's 1533-position model. The record is from RNAcentral.